UAAUAGCAAUCGUGGCGUGAGGGAUAGUAGUGAAAAUCCUUUUUGUUUUUUCUUUAAAAACAAAAAGAUUGUAGCGGAUAGCCCGACCCGAC
RNAcentral lists this small RNA (92 nucleotides) under Flavobacterium crassostreae. RNAcentral's name for it is "Flavo-1 RNA". It matches the Rfam family "Flavo-1 RNA". Lineage: Bacteria; Pseudomonadati; Bacteroidota; Flavobacteriia; Flavobacteriales; Flavobacteriaceae. The record is from Rfam by way of RNAcentral.